AUGUUGAAGCUUUACAGAAACAGUUUUCUGUAAAAACCUUUGCUAAAUGACUCUAUAAAUGUCAUUCUUAGCCAAAUCUUGGAUUUCAAUGAGCCAGAAAUGAAAAUAAAUAGAACCUUCCUUAGUUGUAAGCUCCCCACAUGUUUAAGCUUAUUAGCUGCUUACCUUUUCUUGGUGUGUCCAUUUGGCUUCUCAUCAGGAGGCAGCUCAAUAAUGAGCUGACAAGACUGAGCAUGAUCGAAGUUGUUUGGAGUCUUGGGUGAGCACUGCGUGUCCAACAUAAACACCUGCAAAGGAGAUUCAAUCAACUUUUCUGACUUCUGACCUCUGUCAGCAGAAAAAGUCACUGGUACAUGGUGAUCCCUGAAUAGGAUUUCAAGUGAGCCUGCCUGAUAAGAGAAGGAGGGCAGCAUCCAGAUGCCCAACUUGAAAGGCACGAGAUGACUCGAACCUUCUCUGGCUCCACCUGCCAACAAUUUACCUUCACUGGCUUGAGUGUGGCUGAGAACGCAUCCUGCAGGGCACAGCAGGCAAGCCUCCACAUUUCUUCAGUGAACACAGGUCCUGCUGUGACAAGGACGUACCUGCUCAAAGAAACCAGGAAAGAAGUCUUGAAUCUGUACCUUUUGUCGCCCUUACAGACGAAUGCACAUAUUUGUUCCACAGCUUCCAUUCAAGUCUUGCUGCCUCUUAUUACACUUGUCUUCAAUCCAACUGGUAUCCUAUCUAUUGUCACAACACUAUUUCCUAAGGUAUUUUCCUAUAAAAAUAUCAAAUAGCAAUGGGUCCCCAUUACAGAGAGGGCAAUGUCUCAACUUAGGCUUUGCAUGCAAGACUGUAUAUAUAUUCUGUACUAAUUUUUCUAUUCUAGCCUCAUUUUCUACUACUCCUCUACAAAUAACAACCAAAAUAAUAAAGACUCUGUUGUCAUUUAUGACUCAGAUCUCCAUGCUUAUGUUUGUGAUGUUCUGCUUGCAAGUCCCCAUCUAUCAAGAUCUUGCCCACUUUGGGUGAUCUGACCAAAUGUCAUUAAUAUAAAAAGUCCUUGCUGACAUCCUACUCCCCUGUCCUCCUUGGCAUGUACAGUAACUCCUAACUAUUGUCAUUUUUCAUGUGUCUCUCUCUGUUAUGUCCUUUAGAAAAGGCUAUAAGCCUCUUUGAGGGUAGGGACCUUGACUUCCUAUGCACAGAGUAUCUCUCUUUGUAUAAUGCCUUACACAUUGAAAUGAAGCAUUAUUAGCAUAUACAUAUAGACAUUUUUACUUGUAGAAAGCAGUCCAAAAAGUGGAUUGCUACAAUAAGAGAAUUUAACUCCCUUGGAUUUCAUAAUAAAAAUUCUUAACUUUAAAAAAAAAAAAAAAAA
Canis lupus familiaris (dog) is the source of this 1363-nucleotide long non-coding RNA. RefSeq lists it as uncharacterized. NCBI's taxonomy places the organism in Eukaryota, Metazoa, Chordata, Mammalia, Carnivora, Canidae. The record is from RefSeq and is a predicted model, not a curated record. The transcript has 3 exons.